Molecule: ribosomal RNA, 301 nt
Filed under: uncultured bacterium
Lineage: Bacteria
Description: partial 16S ribosomal RNA
Rfam family: Bacterial small subunit ribosomal RNA
Source: RNAcentral
CAGUAGCCGCGGUAAAACAGAGGGUGCGAGCGUUAAUCGGAUUUACUGGGCGUAAAGCGUGCGUAGGCGGCUUCUUAAGUCGGAUGUGAAAUCCCUGAGCUUAACUUAGGAAUUGCAUUCGAUACUGGGAAGCUAGAGUAUGGGAGAGGAUGGUAGAAUUCCAGGUGUAGCGGUGAAAUGCGUAGAGAUCUGGAGGAAUACCGAUGGCGAAGGCAGCCAUCUGGCCUAAUACUGACGCUGAGGUACGAAAGCAUGGGGAGCAAACAGGAUUAGAUACCCGCGUAGUCCCCUGUCUCUUAUA